RNAcentral lists this ribosomal RNA (253 nucleotides) under uncultured bacterium. RNAcentral describes it as "partial 16S ribosomal RNA". It matches the Rfam family "Bacterial small subunit ribosomal RNA", at positions 524 to 776 of the family's 1533-position model. The record is from RNAcentral.
UACGUAGGGUGCGAGCGUUAAUCGGAAUUACUGGGCGUAAAGCGUGCGCAGGCGGUUAUGUAAGACAGAUGUGAAAUCCCCGGGCUCAACCUGGGAACUGCCUUUGUGACUGCAUAGCUAGAGUACGGUAGAGGGGGAUGGAAUUCCGCGUGUAGCAGUGAAAUGCGUAGAUAUGCGGAGGAACACCGAUGGCGAAGGCAAUCCCCUGGACCUGUACUGACGCUCAUGCACGAAAGCGUGGGGAGCAAACAGG